UUGCCAUUAGUUGCUACGAAAGGGCACUCUAAUGGGACUGCCGGUGACAAACCGGAGGAAGUGGGGAUGACGUCAAGUCCUCAUGGCCCUUAUAGGUGGGGCUACACACGUCAUACAAUGGCUGGUACAGAGGGUUGCCAACCCGCGAGGGGGAGCUAAUCCCAUAAAGCCAGUCGUAGUCCGGAUCGCAGUCUGCAACUCGACUGCGUGAAGUCGGAAUCGCUAGUAAUCGCGGAUCAGAAUGUCGCGGUGAAUACGUUCCCGGGUCUU
RNAcentral lists this ribosomal RNA (270 nucleotides) under uncultured Acidovorax sp. RNAcentral's name for it is "partial 16S ribosomal RNA". It matches the Rfam family "Bacterial small subunit ribosomal RNA", at positions 1105 to 1382 of the family's 1533-position model. The record is from RNAcentral. Lineage: Bacteria; Pseudomonadati; Pseudomonadota; Betaproteobacteria; Burkholderiales; Comamonadaceae.